This is a long non-coding RNA of Musa acuminata AAA Group (dessert banana), 390 nucleotides long. RefSeq lists it as uncharacterized. The transcript has 2 exons. Lineage: Eukaryota; Viridiplantae; Streptophyta; Magnoliopsida; Zingiberales; Musaceae. The record is from RefSeq and is a predicted model, not a curated record.
ACCGUUGAGAUCCUAAAAGAACUGCCUCCUUCACAAGACAAGACAGAGAUCGGCCGGGAAGAAGAUUCUCUGGUGGUGGAGGAGGCAACAUCAGCUGGGCGAGGCGGUUGGCCCAACAGGUUCAACUACACGAACUGAAGCUUGAAAUUUGAAACAUGAGAACCUGAAAUACCUCUCCAGACUUGCAUCUCCGAUCCUGAGCACGGUGCGGUUGACGGUGGACCAGCUAGUGGAGCCGGCGGAGCCAGACUCGUCGCCGACCCAGCGGAUGUCGGGGCCGGCGUCGGAAAAGAUGUUGAUGGAGCUCUGCAGCUGCUUCACCGUCUCAAACCAGUCCUUGAAGUAGUAGUUCAUCUUCUUCGCCUUCUCCCCCUUGGCGCCGUCGAACCA